This 10457-nucleotide long non-coding RNA is filed under the name Sorghum bicolor (sorghum). RNAcentral describes it as "long non-coding RNA (SBIC_LNC004794)". The record is from RNAcentral. Lineage: Eukaryota; Viridiplantae; Streptophyta; Magnoliopsida; Poales; Poaceae.
CGCGGAAGGGUUGUAGGACAUGAAAAUGAUAUGGCACUGGACUUAUGGGAUGAACACAAGAACACUCGAAACUAAGGGUAGAUGUGAACCUAACGGUAUACCUGAAGCUUUGAUUACCACUUGAUGAGAACAAGGGUGGCCCGAUCUUCUGAAAGGUUCUCGUAACUCUCGAUUUGGUGAAGACGAGACACAAAUCUAUGUGGCUUCCGAACAACACGAUCCGAAACCCCGCAUUUUUUUAUUUUUUUAAUAUUUUUCAUUUACUUAGGAGCACUAAAGAAGUAACCACAGAAAAUUUGAGCUUAAUCAAGUAAAAGACGUGGCCUGCGGAAUUUUGUGAAGAUUACAAAAAAUGUGAAAAAAACUUCACAAGGUGAAAACUCAAACUUCGAAGACGAAUUUGGAGAUUCUAAAAUUUUCAAACCCCCUAAAACUGAGGACAGACAGACACUAAAUUUUUUUUUGAUCGAUUUUGAUAUAUGGAACAUUGAAAUCGGAGUUUGUAUGUGAAAGUUAUGGCUGUUUUACGAACGGACUCCGAAUUUGAGGACAAAACGGUCCGAAAGUGGGAAAAAGUUGCGUCGAUGGCUAGAAAUUGAUGGAAACGGUGGGAAAAAACACAAACUGGACUCUAACAAGACCUAACCAGCAACAAGACCUCGUCCAGGACACAAACUCAAAACUGCGGACUCGGAAACUGAAAUAUGCAAAGGCUAUGGCGCGGAAGGGUUGUAGGACACAAAAAUGAUAUGGCACUGGACUUAUGGGACAAACACAAGAACACUCGAAACUAAGGUUAGAUGUGAACCUAACGGUAUACCUGAACCUUUGAUUACCACUUGAUGAGAACAAGGGUGGCCCGAUCUUCCGAAAGGUUCUGUUAACUCUCGAUUUGGUGGAGACGAGACACAAAUCGAUCCGGCUUCCGAACAACACGAUCCGAAACCCUGCAAUUUUUUUUAUUUUUUUGAUAUUUUUCUUUUACUUAGGUGCACUAAAGAAGUAACCACAGAAAAUUUGAGCUUAAAUAAGUGAAAGACGUGGCCUGCGAAAUUUUCUAAAUUUUGUGAAAAAAGUUUAAAAAACUUCACGAGGUGAAAACUUAAACUUCGGAGGCGUAUUUGGAAAUUCUAAAAUUUUCAAACCCGCUAGUGGUAGGGACAGGCAGACCCAAAAUUUUUUUCUGAUUGAUUUUGAUAUAUGGAACAUUGAAAUCGGAGUUCGUACGCGAAUGUUAUGGCUAUUUUACGAACGGACUCUGAAUUAGAGAACAAAACGGUCCGAAAGUGGGAAAAAUUUGUGGCGAUGGCUAGAAAUUGAUGGAAACGGUGGGGAAAAACAUACUAACUGGACUCUAACAAGACCUAACCAGCAACAACCUCGACCAGGACACAAACUCAAAACUGCGGACUCUGAAUCUGAAAUAUGCAAAAGCUAUGGCGCGGAAGGGUUGUAGAACAGGAAAACAAUAUGGCACUGGACUUAUGGGACGAACACAAGAACACUCGAAACUAAGGGUAGAUGUGAACCUAACGGUAUACCUAAAGCUUUGAUUACCACUUGAUGAGAACAAGGGUGGCCCGAUCUUCCGAAAAGUUUUGGUAACUCUCGAUUUGGUGGAGACGAGACACAAAUCGAUACAGCUUCUGAAUAACACGAUCCGAAACCCUGCAUUUUUUUAUUUUUUUGAUAUUUUUAUUUUACUUAGGAGUGCUAAAGGAGUAACCACAGAAAAUUUGAGCUUAAGCAAGUGACAGACAUGGCCUGUGGAAUUUUCUGAAGAUUGUGAAAAAUGUGAAAAAACUUCACGUAUUGGAAACUCAAACUUCGGAGGCGAAUUUCAGGAUUCUAAAAUUGUCAAACCUGCGAAAGUUAGGGACAAACAGAUUUGAAAUUUUUUCUGAUUUAUUUUGAUAUAUGAAACGUUGAAAUCGGAGUUCGUAUGCGAAGGUUAUGGCUGUUUUACGAACAUACUUCGAAUUAGAGGACAAAACGGUUCGAAAAUGGGAAAAUUUUGCGGCGGUGGCAAGAAAUUGAUGGAAACGGUGGGGAAAAGAUAUGAACUGGACUCUAACAAGACCUAACCAGCAACAAAACCUCGACCAGGACACAAACUCAACACUGCAGACUCUGAAACUGAAAUAUGCAAAGGCUAUGGCGCGGAAGGGUUGUAGGACAGGAAAACGAUAUGGCACUGGACUUAUGGGACGAACACAAGAACACUCAAUACUAAGGUUAGAUGUGAACCUAACAGUAUACCUGAAGCUUUGAUUACAACUUGAUGAGAACAAGGGUGGCCCGAUCUUCUGAAAGGUUCUCAUAACUCUCGAUUUGGUGAAGACGAGACACAAAUCGAUCUGGCUUCCAAACAACACAAUCCGAAACCCCGCAUUUUUUUAUUUUUUUAAUAUUUUCCUUUUACUUAGGAGCACUAAAGAAGUAACCACAUAAAAUUUGAGCUUAAUCAAGUAAAAGACGUGGCCUGCGGAAUUUUGUGAAGAUUACAAAAAAUGUGAAAAAAACUUCACAAGGUGAAAACUCAAACUUCGAAGACGAAUUUGGAGAUUCUAAAAUUUUCAAACCCCCCAAAACCGAGGACAGACAGACACUAAAUUUUUUUCUGCUCGAUUUUGAUAUAUGGAACAUUGAAAUCGGAGUUUGUAUGUGAAAGUUAUGGCUGUUUUACGAACGGACUCCGAAUUAGAGGACAAAACGGUCCGAAAGUGGGAAAAAGGUUCGGCGAUGGCUAGAAAUUUAUGGAAACGGUGGGAAAAAAAAUACAAACUGGACUCUAACAAGACCUAACCAGCAACAAGACCUCGACCAGGACACAAACUCAAAAUUGCGGACUCAGAAACUGAAAUAUGCAAAGGCUAUGGCGCGAGAGGGUUGUAGGACACAAAAAUGAUAUGGCACUGGACUUAUGGGACAAACAUAAGAACACUCGAAACUAAGGGUAGAUGUGAACCUAACGGUAUACCUGAAGCUUUGAUUACCACUUCAUGAGAACAAGGGUGGCCCGAUCUUCCCAAAGGUUCUGUUAACUCUCGAUUUGGUGGAGACGAGACACAAAUCGAUCCGGCUUCCGAACAACACGAUCCGAAACCCUGCAAUUUUUUUUUAUUUUUUUGAUAUUUUUCUUUUACUUAGGUGCAUUAAAGAAGUAACCACAGAAAAUAUGAGCUUAAACAAGUGAAAGACGUGGCCUGCGGAAUUUUCUAAAUUUUGUGAAAAUGUGAAAAAAACUUCACGAGGUGAAAACUUAAACUUCGGAGGCGUAUUUGGAAAUUCUAAAAUUUUCAAACCCGCUAGUGGUAGGGACAGGUAGAGCCGAAAUUUUUUUCUGAUUGAUUUUGAUAUAUGGAACGUUGAAAUCGGAGUUUGUACGCGAAUGUUAUGGCUAUUUUACGAACGGACUCCGAAUUAGAGAACAAAACGGUCCGAAAGUGGGAAAAAUUUGCGGCGAUGGCUAGAAAUUGAUGAAAACGGUGGGGAAAAACAUACUAACUGAACUCUAACAAGACCUAACCAGCAACAACCUCGAUCAGGACACAAACUCAAAACUGCGGACUCUCAAUCUAAAAUAUGUAAAAGCUAUGGCGCGGAAGGGUUGUAGAACAGGAAAACAAUAUGGCACUGGACUUAUGGGACGAACACAAGAACACUAGAAACUAAGAGUAGAUGUGAACCUAGCGGUAUACCUAAAGCUUUGAUUACCACUUGAUGAGAACAAGGGUGGCCCGAUCUUACGAAAAGUUAUGUUAACUCUCGAUUUGGUGGAGACGAGACACAAAUCGAUACAGCUUCUGAACAACACGAUCCGAAACCCUAUAUUUUUUUUAUUUUUUUGAUAUUUUUAUUUUACUUAGGAGUGCUAAAGGAGUAACCACAGAAAAUUUGAGCUUAAGCAAGUGAAAGACAUGGCCUGUGGAAUUUUCUGAAGAUUGUGAAAAAUGUGAAAAAACUUCACGUAUUGGAAACUCAAACUUCGAAGGCGAAUUUUAGGAUUCUAAAAGUGUCAAACCCGCGAAACUUAGGGACAACCAGAUCUGAAAUUUUUUUCUGAUCGAUUUUGAUAUAUGAAACAUUGAAAUCGGAGUUCGUAUGCGAAAGUUAUGGCUGUUUUACGAACAGACUUCGAAUUAGAGGACAAAACGGUCCGAAAGUGGAAAAAUUUUGCGCCGGUGGCCAGAAAUUGAUGGAAACGGUGCGGAAAACACAUGAACUGGACUCUAACAAGACCUAACCAGCAACAAGACCUCGACUAGGACACAAACUCAACACUGCGGACUCUGAAACUGAAAUAUGCAAAGGCAAUGGCGCGGAAGGGUUGUAGGAAAGGAAAACUAUAUAGCACUGGACUUAUGGAACGAACACAAGAACACUCAAAACUAAGGCUAGAUGUGAACCUAAUGGUAUAUAUGAAGCUUUGAUUACCAUUUGAUGAGAACAAGGGUGGCACGAUCUUCUGAAAGGUUCUAGUAACUCUCGAUUUGGUGAAGACGAGACACAAAUCGAUAUGGCUUCCGAACAACACGAUCCGAAACCCCGCAUUUUUUUUAUUUUUUUAAUAUUUUCCUUUUACUUAGGAGCACUAAAGAAGUAACCACAGAAAAUUUGAACUUAAUCGAGUAAAAGACGUGGGCUGCGGAAUUUUGUGAAGAUUACACAAAAUGUGAAAAAAACUUCACAAGGUGAAAACUCAAACUUCGAAGACGAAUUUGGAGAUUCUAAAAUUUUCAAACCCCCUAAAACCGAGGACAGACAGACACUAUAUUUUUUCUGAUCGAUUUUGAUAUAUGGAACAUUGAAAUCGAAGUUUGUAUGUGAAAGUUAUGGCUGUUUUACGAACGGACUCCGAAUUAGAGGACAAAACGGUCCGAAAGUGGGAAAAUUUUGCGGCGGUGGCAAGAAAUUGAUGGAAACGGUGGGGAAAACACAUGAACUGGACUCUAACAAGACCUAACCAGCAACAAGACCUCGACCAGAACACAAACUCAACACUGCGGACUCUGAAACUGAAAUAUGCAAAGGUUAUGGCGCGGAAGGGUUGUAGGACAGGAAAACGAUAUGGCACUGGACUUAUGGGACGAACACAAGAACACUCAAAACUAAGGGUAGAUGUGAACCUAACGGUAUACCUGAAGCUUUGAUUACCACUUGAUAAGAACAAGGAUGGUCCGAUCUUCUGAAAGGUUCUGGUAACUCUUGAUUUGGUGGAGACGAGACAUAAAUUGAUCCGGCUUCCGAACAACACGAUCCGAAACCCUGCAAAUUUUUUAUUUUUUUGAUAUUUUUCUAUUACUUAGGUGCACUAAAGAAGUAACCAUAGAAAAUUUGAGCUUAAACAAGUGAAAGACGUGGCCUGCAGAAUUUUGUGAAGAUUACAAAAAAUGUGAAAAAAACUUCACAAGGUGAAAACUCAAAAUUCGAAGACGAAUUUGGAGAUUCUAAAAUUUUCAAACCCCCUAAAACCGAGGACAGACAGACACUAUAUUUUUUCUCAUCGAUUUUGAUAUAUGGAACAUUGAAAUCGAAGUUUGUAUGUGAAAGUUAUGGCUGUUUUACGAACGGACUCCGAAUUAGAGGACAAAACGGUCCGGAAGUGGGAAUAAUUUGUGGUGGUGGCUAGAAAUUGAUGGAAAUGGUGGGCAAAAACAUACCAACUAGACUCUAACAAGACCUAACCAGCAACAUCCUCGACCAGGACACAAACUUAAAAUUGCGGACUCUGAAACUGAAAUAUGCAAAGGCUAUUGCGCGGAAGGGUUGUAGGACAAGAAAACGAUAUGGCACUGGACUUAUGGGACGAAUACAAGAACACUCGAAACUAAGGGUAGAUGUGAACCUAACGGUAUACCUGAAGCUUUAUUACCACUUGAUGAAAUCAAGGGUGGCCCGAUCUUUCGACAGGUUCUGGUAACUCUCGAUUUGGUGGAGACGAGACAUAAAUCAAUGCGGCUUCCAAACAACGCGAUCUGAAACCCUGCAAUUUUUUUAUUUUAUUGAUAUUUUUAUUUUACUUAGGAGCAUUAAAGAAGUAACCAUAGAAAAUUUGAGCUUAAACAAGUAAAUGACGUGGCCUGCUGAAUUUUCUGAAGAUUGCGAAAAAUGUGAAAAAAACUUCACAAGGUGAAAACUCAAACUUCGGAGGUGAAUUUGGAGAAUCUAAAACUUUCAAAGCCGCAAAUAGCAGUGACAGACAGAUCCGAAUUUUUUUGAUCGAUUUUGAUAUAUCGAACAUUGAAAUCGGAGUUUGUAUGUGCAAGUUAUGGCUGUUUUACGAACGGACUCCGAAUUAGAGGACAAAACGGUCCGAAAGUGGGAAAAACUUGCAGCGAUGGCUAGAAACUGAUGGAAACGUUGGGGAAAAAACACGAACUGAACUCUAACAAGACCUAACCAGCAACAAGACCUCGACCAGGACACAAACUCAAAACUGCAGACUCGGAAACUGAAAUAUGCAAAGGCUAUGGCGCGGAAGGGUUGUAGGACACAAAAACGAUAUGGCACUGGACUUAUGGGACGAACACAAGAACACUCGAAACUAAGGGUAGAUGUGAACCUAAAUAUAUACCUGAAGCUUUGAUUACUACUUGAUGAGAACAAGGGUGGCCCGAUCUUCCGAAAGGUUCUGUUAACUCUCGAUUUAGUGGAGACGAGACACAAAUCGAUCCGGCUUCCGAACAACACGAAGGCAAACCCUGCAAUUUUUUUAUUUUUUUAUGUUUUUCUUUUACUUAGGUGCACUAAAGAAGUAACCACAGAAAAUUUGAGCUUAAACAAGUGAAAGACGUGGCUUGCAGAAUUUUCUAUAGAUUGUGAAAAAUGUGAAAAAAACUUCACGAGGUGAAAACUUAAACUUCGGAGGUGUAUUUGGAAGUUCUAAAUUUUUCAAACCCGCUUGUGGUAGGGACAGGCAAACCCGAAAUUUUUUCUGAUUGAUUUUGAUAUAUGGAACGUUGAAAUCGGAGUUCGUACGCGAAUGUUAUGGCUAUUUUACAAACGAACUGCGAAUUAGAGUACAAAACGGUCCGAAAGUGGGAAAAAUUUGCGGCGGUGCCCAGAAAUUGAUGGAAACGGUGGGGAAAAACAUACUAACUGGACUCUAACAAGACCUAACCAGCAACAACCUCGACCAGGACACAAACUCAAAACAACGGACUCUGAAUCUGAAAUAUGGAAAAGCUAUGGCGCGGAAGGGUUGUAGAACAGGAAAACAAUAUGGCACUGGACUCAUGGGACGAACAUAAGAACACAAGAAACUAAGGGUAGAUGUGAACCUAACGGUACACCUAAAGCUUUGAUUACCACUUGAUGAGAACAAGGGUGGCCCGAUCUUCCGAAAGGUUUUGGUAACUCUCGAUUUGGUGGAGAUGAGACACAAAUCGAUACGGCUUAUGAACAACACGAUCCGAAACCCUACAUUUUUUUUAUUUUUUUGAUAUUUUUAUUUUACUUAGGAGCACUAAAGGAGUAACCACAGAAAAUUUGAGCUUAAACAAGUGAAAGACAUGGCCUGUUGAAUUUCUCAAGAUUGUGAAAAAUGUGAAAAGAACUUCACGUAUUGGAAACUCAAACUUCGGAGGCGAAUUUCAAGAUUCUAAAAUUGUCAAACACGCAAAAGUGAGGGACAAACAUAUCUCAAAUUUUUUCUUAUCGAUUUUGAUAUAUGGAACGUUGAAAUCGGAGUUCGUAUGCGAAAGUUAUGGCUGUUUUACGAACAGACUCCGAAUUAGAGGACAAAACGAUCCGAAAGUGGGAAUAAUUCGCGGUGGUGGCUAGAAAUUGAUGGAAAUGGUGGGGAAAAACAUACGAACUAGACUCUAACAAGACCUAACCAGCAACAUCCUCGACCAAGACACAAACUCAAAAUUGCGGACUCUGAAACUGAAAUAUGCAAAGGCUAUUGCGCGGAAGGGUUGUAGAACAAGAAAACGAUAUGGCACUGGACUUAUGGGACGAAUACAAGAACACUCGAAACUAAGUGUAGAUGUGAACCUAACGGUAUACCUGAAGCUUUAUUACCACUUGAUGAGAUCAAGGGUGGCCCGAUCUUUCGACAGGUUCUGGUAACUCUCGAUUUGGUGGAGACGAGACACAAAUCAAUGCGGCUUCCAAACAACGCGAUCUGAAACCCUGCAAUUUUUUUAUUUUAUUGAUAUUUUUAUUUUACUUAGGAGCAUUAAAGAAGUAACCAUAAAAAAUUUGAGCUUAAACAAGUAAAAGACGUUUCCUGCAGAAUUUUCUGAAGAUCGCAAAAAAUGUGAAAAAAACAUCACAAGGUGAAAACUGAAACUUCGGAGGUGAAUUUGGAGAUUCUAAAACUUUCAAACCCGUAAAUAGCAGUAACAGACAGAUCCGAAUUUUUUUGAUCGAUUUUGAUAUAUGGAACAUUAAAAUCGGAGUUUGUAUGUGCAAGUUAUAGCUGUUUUACGAACGGACUCUGAAUCAGAGGACAAAACGGUCCGAAAGUGGGAAAAAGUUGCAGCGAUGGCUAGAAAUUGAUGGAAACGUUCGGAAAAAAACACGAACUAGACUCUAACAAGACCUAACCAGCAACAAGUCCUCGACCAGGACACAAACUCAAAACUGCAGACUCGGAAACUGAUAUAAAAAGGCUAUGGCGCGGAAGGGUUGUAGGACACAAAAACGAUAUGGCACUGGACUUAUGGGACGAACACAAGAACACUCGAAACUAAGGGUAGAUGUGAACCUAACGGUAUACCUGAAGCUUCGAUUACCACUUGAUGAGAACAAGGGUGGCCGGAUCUUCUGAAAGGUUCUGUUAACUCUCGAUUUGGUGGAGACGAGACACAAAUCGAUCCGGCUUCCGAACAACACGAAGGCAAACCCUGCAAUUUUUUUUAUUUUUUUGAUAUUUUUCUUUUACUUAGGUGCACUAAAGAAGUAACCACAGAAAAUUUGAGCUUAAUCAAGUGAAAGACGUGGCCUGCAGAAUUUUGUAAAGAUUGUGAAAAAUGUGAAAAAAAACUUCACAAGGUGAUAACUUAAACUUCGGAGGUGUAUUUGGAAAUUUUAAAAUUUUCAAUCCCGCUAGUGGUAGGGACAGGCAAACCCGAAAUUUUUUCUGAUUGAUUUUGAUAUAUGGAACAUUGAAAUCGGAGUUCGUACGCGAAUGUUAUGGCUAUUUUACGAACAGACUCCGAAUUAGAGAACAAAACGGUCCGAAAGUGGGAAAAAUUUGCGGCGGUGGCUAGAAAUUGAUGGAAACCUGCGGACUUUGAAUGUGAAAUAUGCAAAAGCUAUGGCGCGGAAGGGUUGUAGAAUAGGAAAAUAAUAUGGCACUGGACUUAUGGGACGAACACAAGAACACUCGAAACUAAGGGUAGAUGUGAACCUAACGGUAUACCUAAAGCUUUGAUUACCACUUGAUGAGAACAAGGAUGGCCCGAUCUUCCGAAAGGUUCUGGUAACUCUCGAUUUGGUGGAGACGAGACACAAAUCGAUACGGCUUCUGAACAACACAAUCUGAAACCCUUCAUUUUUUUAUUUUUUUGAUAUUUUUAUUUUACUUAGGAGCACUAAAGGAGUAACCACAUAAAAUUUGAGCUUAAACAAGUGAAAGACAUGGCCUGUGGAAUUUCUGAAGAUUGUGAAAAAUGUGAAAAGAACUUCACGUAUUGGAAACUCAAACUUCGGAGGCGAAUUUCAGGAUUCUAAAGUGGUCAAACCCGCGAAAGUUAGGGACAAACAGACCUGAAAUUUUUUUCUGAUCGAUUUUGAUAUAUGGAACGUUGAAAUCGGAGUUCGUAUGCAAAAGUUAUGGCUGUUUUACGAACAGACUCCGAAUUAGAGGACAAAACGGUCCGAAAGUGGGAAAAAUUUGCGGCGGUGGCUAGAAAUUGAUGGAAACGGUGGGGAAAACACAUGAACUGGACUCUAACAAGACCUAACCAGCAACAAGACCUCGACCAGGACACAAACUCAACACUGCGGACUCUGAAACUGAAAUAUGCAAAGGCUAUGGCGUGGAAGGGUUGUAGGAUGGAAAAACGAUAUGGCACUGGACUUAUGGGACGAACACAACACUCAAAACUAAGGGUAGAUGUGAACCUAAUGGUAUACCUGAAGCUUUGAUUACCACUUGAUGAGAACAAGGGUGGCCCGAUCUUCUGAAUGGUUCUGGUAACUCUCGAUUUGGUGAAGACGAGACACAAAUCGAUCUGGCUUCCGAACAACACGAUCCGAAAUCCCGCAUUUUUUUAUUUUUUUAAUAUUUUCCUUUUACUUAGGAGCACUAAAGAAGUAACCAUAGAAAAAUUGAGCUUAAACAAGUAAAAGACGUGGCCUGCGGAAUUUUGUGAAGAUUACAAAAAAUGUGAAAAAAACUUCACAAGGUGAAAACUCAAACUUCGAAGACGAAUUUGGAGAUUCUAAAAUUUUCAAACCCCCUAAAACCGAGGACACACAGACAGACACUAAAUUUUUUUCUG